CCGAUACGUGUGAGCUGUUUCAUCAAAUCGAUUUUAAGCUAAAAUAGAUUUUUAGGUGUCUGCAAUCAAGGCUAGUCAAUUUGGGGUAAAUCGAUCACAAACUUGCCUUGCUAAACUACUGCCAGAGAGUCCUUGAAAAAGUUGCAAAAUAAAGAGCUAUGGCAUCUUCAUGUACUGCUAGUUCAUGACAUAUGGACUUUUAUUGUCCAUCUCUUCAAAUUGAAAAGACUGCAGAGCCUGAAUUACCUGCAACGUUAUGCUUCCUAUGAAACAUCAGCCAGCCCACAGAUAGAAGCUCCCUUUUCCAGCUUUAAGCAAGAGAGACCACAAUGAGAUACAGAUCUUGGUAUCAUGGACUGGUCACUUUUACAACCAACACUACUUGUAAAAUAAGAUUUACAAAUUAAUUCCUAAGCUAUUUCAAA
Molecule: long non-coding RNA, 425 nt
Organism: Strongylocentrotus purpuratus (purple sea urchin)
Lineage: Eukaryota; Metazoa; Echinodermata; Echinoidea; Camarodonta; Strongylocentrotidae
Exons: 3
Source: RefSeq, a predicted model, not a curated record